AUGCCUCGACGAACUGUACAAGAGCGUGGAGAGCCUCGGCGAAUGUCACUUCCAAGCCAAGCAUGCAAGGGGAUGCUUCUUGCGCCGCUCAACGCCGCAGAAGCACAUUGCCACCGGCUUCAAGUGAAAGUUGACGACAGCAAGAGCAACCCAUGUAUCGUUGCAAAAAUGGAAUGUGCGGCAAUCUAUCGUUUCGCUGCGCCCCUGAUGCUGUUUGCAGUUGUGGAAAUGUUGUCCAGUACAUUGGGGAAUGGACAACUCAGAAUCCUCGUGUUGAUGUUGAGGAUGGGGUUUUUGGCAUUAGUGGCUCCAAGUUCAUCAUAA
This 324-nucleotide ribosomal RNA is filed under the name Triticum aestivum (bread wheat). RNAcentral's name for it is "partial small subunit ribosomal RNA". The record is from RNAcentral. Lineage: Eukaryota; Viridiplantae; Streptophyta; Magnoliopsida; Poales; Poaceae.